Molecule: ribosomal RNA, 253 nt
Filed under: uncultured bacterium
Lineage: Bacteria
Description: partial 16S ribosomal RNA
Rfam family: Bacterial small subunit ribosomal RNA
Source: RNAcentral
UACGGGGGGGGCAAGCGUUGUUCGGAAUUACUGGGCGUAAAGGGCUCGUAGGUGGCCAACUAAGUCACACGUGAAAUCCCUCGGCUUAACCGGGGAACUGCGUCUGAUACUGGAUGGCUUGAGUUUGGGAGAGGGACGCGGAAUUCCAGGUGUAGCGGUGAAAUGCGUAGAUAUCAAGAGGAACACCUGAGGUGAAGACGGGUUGCUGGGCCAACACUGACGCUGAGGCGCGAAAGCCAGGGGAGCAAACGGG